CACGUAGGGGGCGAGCGUUGUCCGGAAUUACUGGGCGUAAAGGGCGCGCAGGCUGUUAUGCGAGUCUGCUGUGAAAUGUACCGGCUCAACCGGUGCCUUGCGGCGGAUACUGCAUAGCUGGAGUACUGGAGAGGGAAGUGGAAUUCCCGGUGUAGCGGUGAAAUGCGUAGAUAUCGGGAGGGACACCGGUGGCGAAGGCGGCUUUCUGGCCAGUUACUGACGCUCAUGCGCGAAAGCUGGGGUAGCGAACCGGAUUAGAUACCCG
Molecule: ribosomal RNA, 265 nt
Filed under: uncultured prokaryote
Description: partial 16S ribosomal RNA
Rfam family: Bacterial small subunit ribosomal RNA
Source: RNAcentral